RNAcentral lists this ribosomal RNA (253 nucleotides) under uncultured bacterium. RNAcentral's name for it is "partial 16S ribosomal RNA". It matches the Rfam family "Bacterial small subunit ribosomal RNA", at positions 524 to 776 of the family's 1533-position model. The record is from RNAcentral.
UACGUAGGGGGCAAGCGUUGUCCGGAAUCAUUGGGCGUAAAGAGCGUGUAGGCGGUUCGGUAAGUCCGCUGUGAAAGUCCAGGGCUCAACCCUGGGAUGCCGGUGGAUACUGUCGGGCUCGAGUCCGGAAGAGGAGUGUGGAAUUCCAGGUGUAGCGGUGAAAUGCGUAGAUAUCUGGAGGAACACCGGUGGCGAAGGCGGCAUCCUGGACCGGUAUUGACGCUGAGGCGCGAAAGCUAGGGGAGCAAACGGG